Molecule: long non-coding RNA, 654 nt
Filed under: Fukomys damarensis (Damara mole-rat)
Lineage: Eukaryota; Metazoa; Chordata; Mammalia; Rodentia; Bathyergidae
Description: lncRNA (ENSFDAG00000026178.1)
Source: RNAcentral
GGUGUGUGUGUGUGUGUGUGUGUGUGUGUGUGUGUGUGUGCAUGUGGGUGUGGAGAGUGUAUAUUUGAAAGCAGCCUCCUAUUAAAUCUUUUUGUUUGUUUGUUUUUUAUCUUCCCCAGACUUCUGAUUUCCGUGGAGGCUUUGGAGUGUAAGAGGAGCUCCUGGGGUCUGCGUGACAGAGGAGACUCACGGUGGAUGCUGAUCAUGCAUCUUCAGUGUCCUGAGGGAAGCAUGAUUUCUUUCUACGCCAGAAUCAGUCCUGCUCAGGAGGACUUGGGAGCAAACCUCCCACAGGGAGCAGCAUCUCCAGUUGCCCUGCAAGCCGGCUGCAUCCUGUUAGCCCAUUCAGUGUCACCCAAAGUCCUCUCAGAAAUUCCUGCUCACGUCUCAAAAGACACAUUGCAUGGUUUGGAAAACGCUGUAAACUCCCAGGAGAACGAGAGACCAAGAUUAUGGUUGACUGCUGCUAAUCGAAAGCAUGGACAGUGAGAUGAGACAGCAGAAGCAGUAAAACUGCUCUACUCAUAUCUGCAUGCUAGAAUGGUUAUUCUACUAAUGAAAGAGGUGGAAGACCAGUCUGUUCCCCGGGGCAGCAGGUAAGACAUUGCAAAAGCUCAGAGUGCAUGCAGGUAAUGAAAAAAAGAUGCAUGUCAA